This 264-nucleotide long non-coding RNA is filed under the name Elaeis guineensis (African oil palm). RNAcentral describes it as "long non-coding RNA (EGUI_LNC022020)". Lineage: Eukaryota; Viridiplantae; Streptophyta; Magnoliopsida; Arecales; Arecaceae. The record is from RNAcentral.
UUCUUCAGAAGUUGCCCUUCAGUUCUUCUAUCGUCCGAAGAUCAUGUUGAUUACUCUCGUCAUUGAUCGAUUGUUGAGUGUCUCCUCAGCUUGCGGUUGAGAUUGUUGGUCAGUGGGAGGUUGAGUCGGACGAUCACGUCGGAAUUUUCAAGGUAGCCUCAUCGAAUUAGGGCUUCUAUCUCAUCCCUGAGCUGGAUACAGUGUUCGGUGUCGUGAUCGUGAUCACGAUGGAACCGACAGUAAUUCUUCCUGUCUUGGCUUCUC